RNAcentral lists this ribosomal RNA (507 nucleotides) under uncultured bacterium. Its description in RNAcentral is "partial 16S ribosomal RNA". The record is from RNAcentral.
GGAGUUAGCCGGUGCUUCUUCUGUGAGUGAUGUCCUUCCUGCCGGUUAUUGACCCGCAGGCCUUCUUCCUCACUGAAAGUGCUUUACAACCCGAAGGCCUUCUUCACACACGCGGCAUGGCUGGAUCAGGGUUGCCCCCAUUGUCCAAUAUUCCCCACUGCUGCCUCCCGUAGGAGUCUGGGCCGUGUCUCAGUCCCAGUGUGUCUGAUCAUCCUCUCAGACCAGCUACGGAUCGUCGCCUUGGUGAGCCGUUACCUCACCAACCAGCUAAUCCGACAUAGGCUCAUCCGAUAGCGCGAGGCCCGAAGGUCCCCCGCUUUCCCCCGUAGGGCGUAUGCGGUAUUAGCCUGGGUUUCCCCAGGUUAUCCCCCACUACCGGGCAGAUUCCUAUGCAUUACUCACCCGUCCGCCGCUCGCCACCAGGGAGCAAGCUCCCCGUGCUGCCGCUCGACUUGCAUGUGUUAGGCCUGCCGCCAGCGUUCAAUCUGAGCCAGGAUCAAACUCUGA